This 444-nucleotide ribosomal RNA is filed under the name uncultured bacterium. RNAcentral describes it as "partial 16S ribosomal RNA". It matches the Rfam family "Bacterial small subunit ribosomal RNA", at positions 339 to 795 of the family's 1533-position model. The record is from RNAcentral.
CUACGGGGCGCUCCAGUAGGGAAUAUUGUGCAAUGGGCGAAAGCCUGACGCAGCGACGCCGCGUGAGUGAAGAAGGCCCUCGGGUUGUAAAGCUCUGUCAGGGGGGACGAAGGGCAACUGACGGUACCCCCAGAGGAAGCCCCGGCCAACUACGUGCCAGCAGCCGCGGUAAGACGUAGGGGGCAAGCGUUGUCCGGAAUCAUUGGGCGUAAAGAGCACGUAGGCGGCCUGUCAAGUCGGAUGUGAAAACCCGCGGCUCAACCGCGGGACUGCAUUCGAAACUGGCAGGCUUGAGUCCAGUAGAGGAAAGUGGAAUUACCGGUGUAGUGGUGAAAUGCGCAGAUAUCGGGAAGAACACCGGUGGCGAAGGCGGCUUUCUGGGCUGAGACUGACGCUGAGGUGCGAAAGCUAGGGGAGCGAACAGGAUUAGAUACCCGAGUAGUC